AAGGAUCCUGCCGCCGUUCGGACGGGUGAGUAAGGGAAAUAUACACCCCCACCCAAAGAGCUCGCGUCCGAUUAGCUAGUUGGUNAGGUAAAGGCUGACCAAGGCGACGAUCGGUAGCUGGUCUGAGAGGAUGAUCAGCCACACUGGGACUGANACACGGCCCAGACUCCUACGGGAGGCAGCAGUGGGGAAUUUUCCGCAAUGGGCGAAAGCCUGACGGAGCAAUACCGCGUGNGGGACGAAGGCUUUUGGGUCGUAAACCUCUUUUGUUAGGGAAGAAGAACUGACGGUACCUAANGAAUCANCCUCNGCUAACUCCGUGCCAGCANCCGCGGUAAUACGGAGGAUGCAAGCGUUAUCCGGAAUUAUUGGGCGUAAAGCGUCCGCAGGUGGUUUAUCAAGUCUGCUGUUAAANCGUGGGGCUUAACCCUAUAUAGGCAGUGGAAACUGAAAGACUAGAGUACGGUAGGGGUANCGGGAAUUCCCAGUGUAGCGGUGAAAUGCGUANAUAUUGGGAANAACACCCGCGGCGAAGGCGCGCUACUGGGCCAAAACUGACACUCAUGGACNAAAGCUAGGGGAGCGAAAGGGAUUAAAUACCCCUGUAAUCAAGGGAA
RNAcentral lists this ribosomal RNA (617 nucleotides) under uncultured cyanobacterium. Its description in RNAcentral is "bacterial SSU rRNA". It matches the Rfam family "Bacterial small subunit ribosomal RNA", at positions 173 to 802 of the family's 1533-position model. The record is from RNAcentral. Lineage: Bacteria; Bacillati; Cyanobacteriota.